RNAcentral lists this ribosomal RNA (434 nucleotides) under uncultured bacterium. RNAcentral's name for it is "bacterial SSU rRNA". It matches the Rfam family "Bacterial small subunit ribosomal RNA", at positions 369 to 793 of the family's 1533-position model. The record is from RNAcentral.
CAAUGGGCGAAAGCCUGAUGGAGCAAUGCCGCGUGAGUGAAGUAAGGUUUUGGAUACGUAAAACUCUGUUGUUGAAGAAGAACAUGCGUGAGAGUAACUGUUCACGUACUGACGGUAUUCAACCAGAAAGCCACGGCUAACUACGUGCCAGCAGCCGCGGUAAUACGUAGGUGGCAAGCGUUGUCCGGAGUUUAUUGGGCGUAAAGAGAAUGUAGGCGGUUUAUUAAGUUUGAAGUGAAAGCCCUCGGCUCAACCGAGGAAGUGCUUCGAAAACUGGUAAACUUGAGUGCAGAAGAGGAAAGUGGAACUCCAUGUGUAGCGGUGGAAUGCGUAGAUAUAUGGAAGAACACCAGUGGCGAAGGCGGCUUUCUGGUCUGUAACUGACGCUGAGAUUCGAAAGCAUGGGUAGCAAACAGGAUUAGAUACCCUGGUAG